AUGACGUCAAGUCCUCAUGGCCCUUAUAGGUGGGGCUACACACGUCAUACAAUGGCUGGGUACAAAGGGUUGCCAACCCGCGAGGGGGAGCCAAUCCCAUAAAGCCAGUCGUAGUCCGGAUCGUAGUCUGCAACUCGACUACGUGAAGUCGGAAUCGCUAGUAAUCGUGGAUCAGAAUGUCACGGUGAAUACGUUCCCGGGUCUU
This 205-nucleotide ribosomal RNA is filed under the name uncultured Rhodoferax sp. RNAcentral describes it as "partial 16S ribosomal RNA". It matches the Rfam family "Bacterial small subunit ribosomal RNA", at positions 1179 to 1382 of the family's 1533-position model. The record is from RNAcentral. Lineage: Bacteria; Pseudomonadati; Pseudomonadota; Betaproteobacteria; Burkholderiales; Comamonadaceae.